AUGCACGCUGGCGGCGUGCCUAAUACAUGCCAGUCGAGCGAACGGACGAGAAGCUUGCUUCUCUGAUGUUAGCGGCGGACGGGUGAGUAACACGUGGAUAACCUACCUAUAAGACUGGGAUAACUUCGGGAAACCGGAGCUAAUACCGGAUAAUAUUUUGAACCGCAUGGUUCAAAGGUGAAAGACGGUCUUGCUGUCACUUAUAGAUGGAUCCGCGCUGCAUUAGCUAGUUGGUAAGGUAACGGCUUACCAAGGCAACGAUGCAUAGCCGACCUGAGAGGGUGAUCGGCCACACUGGAACUGAGACACGGUCCAGACUCCUACGGGAGGCAGCAGUAGGGAAUCUUCCGCAAUGGGCGAAAGCCUGACGGAGCAACGCCGCGUGAGUGAUGAAGGUCUUCGGAUCGUAAAACUCUGUUAUUAGGGAAGAACAUAUGUGUAAGUAACUGUGCACAUCUUGACGGUACCUAAUCAGAAAGCCACGGCUAACUACGUG
This 496-nucleotide ribosomal RNA is filed under the name uncultured bacterium. Its description in RNAcentral is "partial 16S ribosomal RNA". It matches the Rfam family "Bacterial small subunit ribosomal RNA", at positions 29 to 507 of the family's 1533-position model. The record is from RNAcentral.